UCUGGGUUCGGUAGGUUGAGAUCAGGCAUUGACCCUCCCUGGAUAUUGACCCCCGGGAUCAGGUUGAGCUUGUCGAUCAGCCAGUC
Molecule: transfer RNA, 86 nt
Filed under: compost metagenome
Description: tRNA-Val
Source: RNAcentral